Molecule: ribosomal RNA, 1528 nt
Filed under: Klebsiella aerogenes
Lineage: Bacteria; Pseudomonadati; Pseudomonadota; Gammaproteobacteria; Enterobacterales; Enterobacteriaceae
Description: bacterial SSU rRNA
Rfam family: Bacterial small subunit ribosomal RNA
Source: RNAcentral
AGAGUUUGAUCAUGGCUCAGAUUGAACGCUGGCGGCAGGCCUAACACAUGCAAGUCGAGCGGUAGCACAGAGAGCUUGCUCUCGGGUGACGAGCGGCGGACGGGUGAGUAAUGUCUGGGAAACUGCCUGAUGGAGGGGGAUAACUACUGGAAACGGUAGCUAAUACCGCAUAACGUCGCAAGACCAAAGUGGGGGACCUUCGGGCCUCAUGCCAUCAGAUGUGCCCAGAUGGGAUUAGCUAGUAGGUGGGGUAAUGGCUCACCUAGGCGACGAUCCCUAGCUGGUCUGAGAGGAUGACCAGCCACACUGGAACUGAGACACGGUCCAGACUCCUACGGGAGGCAGCAGUGGGGAAUAUUGCACAAUGGGCGCAAGCCUGAUGCAGCCAUGCCGCGUGUAUGAAGAAGGCCUUCGGGUUGUAAAGUACUUUCAGCGAGGAGGAAGGCAUUAAGGUUAAUAACCUUGGUGAUUGACGUUACUCGCAGAAGAAGCACCGGCUAACUCCGUGCCAGCAGCCGCGGUAAUACGGAGGGUGCAAGCGUUAAUCGGAAUUACUGGGCGUAAAGCGCACGCAGGCGGUCUGUCAAGUCGGAUGUGAAAUCCCCGGGCUCAACCUGGGAACUGCAUUCGAAACUGGCAGGCUAGAGUCUUGUAGAGGGGGGUAGAAUUCCAGGUGUAGCGGUGAAAUGCGUAGAGAUCUGGAGGAAUACCGGUGGCGAAGGCGGCCCCCUGGACAAAGACUGACGCUCAGGUGCGAAAGCGUGGGGAGCAAACAGGAUUAGAUACCCUGGUAGUCCACGCCGUAAACGAUGUCGACUUGGAGGUUGUGCCCUUGAGGCGUGGCUUCCGGAGCUAACGCGUUAAGUCGACCGCCUGGGGAGUACGGCCGCAAGGUUAAAACUCAAAUGAAUUGACGGGGGCCCGCACAAGCGGUGGAGCAUGUGGUUUAAUUCGAUGCAACGCGAAGAACCUUACCUACUCUUGACAUCCAGAGAACUUAGCAGAGAUGCUUUGGUGCCUUCGGGAACUCUGAGACAGGUGCUGCAUGGCUGUCGUCAGCUCGUGUUGUGAAAUGUUGGGUUAAGUCCCGCAACGAGCGCAACCCUUAUCCUUUGUUGCCAGCGGUCCGGCCGGGAACUCAAAGGAGACUGCCAGUGAUAAACUGGAGGAAGGUGGGGAUGACGUCAAGUCAUCAUGGCCCUUACGAGUAGGGCUACACACGUGCUACAAUGGCAUAUACAAAGAGAAGCGACCUCGCGAGAGCAAGCGGACCUCAUAAAGUAUGUCGUAGUCCGGAUUGGAGUCUGCAACUCGACUCCAUGAAGUCGGAAUCGCUAGUAAUCGUAGAUCAGAAUGCUACGGUGAAUACGUUCCCGGGCCUUGUACACACCGCCCGUCACACCAUGGGAGUGGGUUGCAAAAGAAGUAGGUAGCUUAACCUUCGGGAGGGCGCUUACCACUUUGUGAUUCAUGACUGGGGUGAAGUCGUAACAAGGUAACCGUAGGGGAACCUGCGGUUGGAUCACCU